RNAcentral lists this ribosomal RNA (460 nucleotides) under uncultured bacterium. Its description in RNAcentral is "partial 16S ribosomal RNA". It matches the Rfam family "Bacterial small subunit ribosomal RNA", at positions 338 to 795 of the family's 1533-position model. The record is from RNAcentral.
CCUACGGGCGGCAGCAGUGAGGAAUAUUGGUCAAUGGACGAGAGUCUGAACCAGCGAAGUCGCGUGAAGGAUGACUGCCCUCUGGGUUGUAAACUUCUUUUAUAUGGGAAUAAAAUGUUCCACGUGUGGGAUUUUGUAUGUACCAUAUGAAUAUGGAUCGGCUAACUCCGUGCCAGCAGCCGCGGUAAUACGGAGGAGCCGAGCGUUAGCCGGAUUUAUUGGGUGUAAAGGGAGCGUAGGUGGAUUGUUAAGUCAGUUGUGAAAGUUUGCGGCUCAACCGUAAAAUUGCAGUUGAAACUGGCAGUCUUGAGUACAGUAGAGGUGGGCGGAAUUCGUGGUGUAGCGGUGAAAUGCUUAGAUAUCACGAAGAACUCCGAUUGCGAAGGCAGUUCACUGGACUGCAACUGACGCUGAGGCUCGAAAGUGUGGGUAUCAAACAGGAUUAGAUACCCUUGUAGUC